Molecule: long non-coding RNA, 1096 nt
Organism: Erinaceus europaeus (western European hedgehog)
Lineage: Eukaryota; Metazoa; Chordata; Mammalia; Eulipotyphla; Erinaceidae
Exons: 3
Source: RefSeq, a predicted model, not a curated record
UCACGAGCAGCUCAGAGGAGGAUAUGAAACUCCCCUUUCUCCCUGACUGCCACACCCCACCUACCUUCUCAGGUGACCCUCCUUGCACACAUCCACGUGCAAGGCACUGCAUCUCGCCCUGCACAGGAACCGUGCUGCUGAGAGUCUGCAUGUCCAGGUGAAACCUUUGAGGACAAUGACUACAUCCAUUUUGUUGCUCUCUCUCCAAUGUCUACAAAACACUGCUGAGCACAGAGCAGUGCUUCGCCCAGGGAUGAACACAAGGAAAUCGAUACACAGAUACUAUUUCCUGCACAAAGGUCAAGACAGCAGGCUGAACGAACCAUGUCAAAUUGGUGCUGGAGAGUGGACAGCCCUGGCACAAGAAUGAAGAAGCCAGUCUGGGAGCGGUGAAAUAAUGCACAUGGGAGGCCCCGGUGCCCCAGCAGCAAGAAGACAGAACACGGCACCUCCUGGACACUUAGGGGGAAAUGAAUAUCAUGCACAAUAAAAAUGAGUGUUCCUAUGGAAAUAAAGUGACACAAAGCAAGCAGUGAAUCAUUAAAGGAACUCAGGGAACAGAAAAGCAUGGACUAGGUGGGGUGUACUACAGCAAAGCAAGGGGCUCUGGGUUACAGAGCGGAUCGGGGGAGGGCGUCAGGUACACAGUGCUCGGUGGUGAAGACUUGAAUUGGUGGUGGGAGCAGGACAACCUCAUCGAUGUGUCCUGGAACCUCACUCCCCCCACUAGGGAAAGAUAGAAACAGGCUGGGGGUAUGGAUCUACCUGCCAACACCCAUGUCUAGCAGAGAAGCAAUUACAGAAGCCAGAACUCCCACCUUCUGUGCCCCAUAAAGAAUUUUGCUUCAUGGAUGAAUAUGGGAUGAUCUCACUCUCAGGGAGAAAUUGAAAAACAAGAUCAGAAGAGAAAACACAAGUAGAGCCUGAACUGGAAUUGGCGUAUUGCUCCAAAGUAAAAGACUCUGGGGUGGGAGGGGGAGAAUACAGGUCCAAGAAGGAUGACAGAGGACCUAGUGGGGUUGUAUUGUUAUAUGGAAAACUGAGAAAUGUUAUGCAUAUACAAACUAUUGUAUUUACUGUCAAAUAUAAAAUAUUA